AACCAGCACCUCAAGUGGUCAGGAUGAUUAUUGGGCCUAAAGCAUCCGUAGCCGGCUCUGUAAGUUUUCGGUUAAAUCUGUACGCUUAACGUACAGGCUGCCGGGAAUACUGCAGAGCUAGGUAGUGGGAGAGGUAGACGGUACUCGGUAGGAAGGGGUAAAAUCCUUUGAUCUAUUGAUGACCACCUGUGGCGAAGGCGGUCUACCAGAACACGUACGACGGUGAGGGAUGAAAGCUGGGGGAGCAAACCGGAUUAGAUACCCGGGUAGUCCCAGCUGUAAACUAUGCAAACUCAGUGAUGCAUUGGCUUGUGGCCAAUGCAGUGCUGCAGGGAAGCCGUUAAGUUUGCCGCCUGGGAAGUACGUACGCAAGUAUGAAACUUAAAGGAAUUGGCGGGGGAGCACCACAAGGGGUGAAGCCUGCGGUUCAAUUGGAGUCAACGCCAGAAAUCUUACCCGGAGAGACAGCAGAAUGAAGGUCAAGCUGAAGACUUUACCAGACAAGCUGAGAGGUGGUGCAUGGCCGUCGCCAGCUCGUGCCGUGAGAUGUCCUGUUAAGUCAGGUAACGAGCGAGAUCCCUGCCUCUAGUUGCCACCAUUACUCUCAGGAGUAGUGGGGCGAAUUAGCGGGACCGCCGCAGUUAAUGCGGAGGAAGGAAGGGGCCACGGCAGGUCAGUAUGCCCCGAAACUCUGGGGCCACACGCGGGCUGCAAUGGUAACGACAAUGGGUUUCGAAUUCGAAAGGAUGAGGUAAUCCUCAAACGUUACCACAGUUAUGACUGAGGGCUGCAACUCGCCCUCACGAAUAUGGAAUCCCUAGUAACUGCGUGUCACUAUCGCGCGGUGAAUACGUCCCUGCUCCU
This 864-nucleotide ribosomal RNA is filed under the name uncultured archaeon. RNAcentral's name for it is "SSU rRNA". It matches the Rfam family "Archaeal small subunit ribosomal RNA", at positions 474 to 1337 of the family's 1478-position model. The record is from RNAcentral.